GACACACCGGCCUGCUCAAAUUGAAAGCAAGAACGCAAACUUUUUUACAUAAAAUGUUGGACUAGUUAAGUUUUGAUUACUAAUUAACCUUAUAAUCGAUAAUACAAUUAAAAUUAAAUGCCAUACAUGGAAAUACUAACUUUUCAAUUCAUGACCUUGGCAAGACCAUAGCCUUUAAAGGAUUCUUCAUCACAACGGUGAAUGCAAAAGUUUCAGUCGGGUCGGGUGGAGAAGCCGGAUCCGGUAACCACUUGAAAGCAUGCACCAUCCUAGCAAGCAUCAAUUGGACAUGUAAUGUACCCAGACUCCACGCCGGGCAAAUCCGCCGGCCGGCUCCAAAUGGCACCAUCUUCACCCCACGAGUUCCCGUUACAUCCACAUCAACACCAUCACCUUCCAAGAAUCUCUCAGGUCGGAAUUCUUCCGGGUCCUUCCACAUAUCUGGAUCCUCAGUCACCCAUGCAGUGUAAAGCUCCACGUUAACACCCACCGGAAUUGUAUAGCCUCCGAGUUCUGUCUCCUUAGUUGCGGCAUGAGAUAACAAGAAGUGGCUCGGUGGGUGUCGCCGGAGAGUUUCUUUAACGAUAGCUCCAAGAUAAGGCAAUUUCUCAACAUCCUCUUCUUUAACCAAUCCUUCUUUGCCAACACACCCAACAAUUUCUUUGUACAACUUGUCUUGAAUCUCUUGGUUCUGCACCAAAUGAAGCAGCGCCCAUUCAAUGAUUGUUGCACUAGUGUCAGUUCCAGCACUAAUGACCUCAGAGCACAGUGUCACAAAUUCUUGCUCUCCUAAUGGGCCUCUAGGAGCCGGUUUCAGCUCAAACAGCGAGUCUAUAUAAGCGGCGCCAACUGGACUCACCAUUUCUAAGUUGGGGUUUUCACCUUUCUCCACAAAAGCUCUUCUGUUUCUUAUCAAUGGAAGCAAGCACUCCAUCUGUUUCUUCCUCAGUUCCUUGGCUUCUUUCAUUUGCCUGCGAAACAAAGGAGCAAGAACCGGCAAGAAAUCUGGGAGCUUUAGUGUUGUCAUUAGCAUAACCUCUUUUAGUAUGCUUUCUAUAUUCUUUAUCCUAUCCUCAGAGAUUCUUGCUCCAAAGCAAAUGCAUAUUAGGAUGCUGCAUAUAGAGAGCCUGCAGUUGUUCAUUACCUCAACAGACCCAUUUUCAAGGGCCUCCCUUUUGAUCCUUUUCAUGUGAUUCUCCGAUGCCCAUUGUCUUAUCCAGCUGCAUUGCUUGAUUCUCAUCGGGCUUGUCACCUCAGUGACAAAGUUCCGGCGAAGAGUUCGC
This 1283-nucleotide unclassified non-coding RNA is filed under the name Hevea brasiliensis (rubber tree). The record is from RNAcentral. Lineage: Eukaryota; Viridiplantae; Streptophyta; Magnoliopsida; Malpighiales; Euphorbiaceae.